GUGAAUCAUCGAAUCUUUGAACGCACAUUGCACUUUCUGGUAUCCCGGAAAGUAUGCCUGUUUGAGUAUCAAUAACACCCAUCUCACCCGACAUGUUGUUUUGGAAACAAAACGACGCGACGGUUGAGGAUUUGGAGCGUCCGGAAGUCCCGCUGUUCAGUCAGCGAACCCCGGUGCUCUUAAAAACAGCUGUUUCUGUGGAGAGACGCUAGUUGGUUCUUCAAGUCCCAAAGAUUAGCCUUCUUCAACAAGUUAUGAUUACAAUAGGACCGUGGUCCUUUUUAAUCACUUCCUCUGUUG
This 300-nucleotide unclassified non-coding RNA is filed under the name uncultured fungus. RNAcentral describes it as "sequence contains 5.8S rRNA gene, ITS2". The stretch from base 1 to 71 matches the Rfam family "5.8S ribosomal RNA", at positions 84 to 154 of the family's 154-position model. Lineage: Eukaryota; Fungi. The record is from RNAcentral.